CCCUUAGACGUUCUGGGCCGCACGCGCGCUACACUGACUGCUCCAACAAGUUACCUGGGCUGACAAGCAUCCGGGAAAUCUUGCAAAGGCAGUCGUGAUGGGGAUAGAUUCUUGUAAUUUUUGAUCUUCAACGAGGAAUUCCUAGUAAACGCAAGUCAUCAGCUUGCAUUGAUUACGUCCCUGCCCUUUGUACACACCGCCCGUCGCAUCUACCGAUUGAAUGGAGAGGCAAAAUCUUCGGACCGUGACGCUUGGGAGUCAAAUCUCGGGCUGUCGUGGGAAGUGGAUUAAACCUUUCUAUUUAGAGGAAGGUAAAGUCGUAACA
RNAcentral lists this ribosomal RNA (325 nucleotides) under uncultured eukaryote. RNAcentral's name for it is "partial 18S ribosomal RNA". It matches the Rfam family "Eukaryotic small subunit ribosomal RNA", at positions 1470 to 1796 of the family's 1831-position model. The record is from RNAcentral.